CCUGAACAUGCUGUAGUUAUAUUUUUGUAUGUUUUUCAAAAUAGAGAUAAAUGUUAGAGUAUUUUAUGUAAGGUUUAUAAAGAAGAGAGUUUUAUUCUGAUUAUUGUAAUAAGUUCUUAUGAACUAUUUUUGCACCGACGUUGCGCACCUUUUCACAGUAAUUGGGCUGUUAUGACGUCAUUUGAUCAGACGUUUAGUGCAAAGAUAUGUACCUUAUAAGGAAGUUUCCUUAUUAGGUCAUUGAUUUCACCCAUAUUUGGAAUUUCUCUCACGCGAAAUAACAACACUAGCGUAAGAUUUGAUAGUAUUUUACGUCAGUUCCAGCUUGUCCCUACCGCCGGCUAGCAGCUUUAUUUACGUGUCUCAUAAAUUUCAAGGUACAGUUUUUCUAAAGCAGCAGUUUAAGUUCCAGAAUGUUGCAAUAUAUAUGCAAUAUAAUUAUUUAUGCAGUUCAUUUAAUUGUUCCGGUUUCCAGUUUUUAACGGAGGC
RNAcentral lists this long non-coding RNA (489 nucleotides) under Mytilus galloprovincialis (Mediterranean mussel). Lineage: Eukaryota; Metazoa; Mollusca; Bivalvia; Mytilida; Mytilidae. The record is from RNAcentral.